GACGACCAGGCGAGGAGGGUACAAACAAAGGGGCAUGGCAGCAGUUCAACUCAUAUCUUUCUCGGUCUUUUCGCUAAGAUCAAGUGUAGUAUCUAUUGUUAUCAGUUUAAUAUCUGAUAUGUGGGGUACAUCCUCACAAUGAUAUUAAAUUUAUUUUUUAUAAAGGUGGGUCCAUCAUAGUAGCUUACUGCUGGGGUCCACACGUGUUGCUUGGGCGUUGCACUGCUGCCCUGGCCCGGUGCACCCCAACCAAAUCAAGUUAAAAAUUUAUUAUAUCUUACAGAAUCAAGCUAAUUUUUUAUUAUAUCUUUCAUUGCUUUGAAACUCAAUCUGUAUAGUACAUGUGUACGUGCACAGCAAUGUUCAAUUUAUGAAUACAACUUUUCCAAAAGAAAGAAACAAUCACAUGGCUAUAGAAAAGUCUAACAAAUCAACUAGUAUUCUAUUUUGUUUGCAUAAAAAGUUGUUGUGGCAGUUACCUGCGAAAACAAAGGCGGGUGCUAGGCGUAAGUCGGCUGAUAGUUCGCAGUUAUAAGCCGCCUUGAUAACCGUCCGAUCGUGUACACCGUAGCCGGUUGCUUGCUGUCCCGCGAACGUACUUCCCCUCAACCCACUCUCUUCGCUCCAACAGAGAAAAAACCCAUGCAACGCCCACUCGCGCUCCAAGCACACCAACUAGCACAACGGUAGUGGCUGCGACGCCGUCGUCGGAGUCGACGCCGCCGGAGCUGCGGUGCAGCGGCCGUUGAUGCCGCCAGAGCUGCGAUGCAGUGGCCACGACGCCGCCGGAGCUGCGAUGCAGUGGCCGUCGGAGACGACAGUGCUGGAGCUGCGAUGCAGCGGCCGUCGAAGUCGACGCCCCAGAGCUAUGAUGCAGCGGCCGCCGGAGUCGACAGUGCCGGAGCUGCGAUGCAGCGGCCGUCGAAGUCGACGCCCCAGAGCUAUGAUGCAGCGGCCGCCGGAGUUGCAAUGCAGCGGCCACGACACCGCCGGAGCUGCGAUGCAGCGACCGUCGGAGUCGACGCCGCCGAAGCUGCAGCCAUCCGGGUUGCAAUGCAGCAGUGCGUCGGAGUCGACACCGCCGGAGCUGCGCCCGUCGGAGUUGCAAUGCAGCGGUGCGUCGGAGUCAACGCCACCGAAGCUCCGCCGCCCGGCGAGAUCCACGGCCAGCCGGCACCGGCUUACAGCACGGUGACCCCUUCAGCAGCAGCGUCGCUCGUUCUACUUGCUGUGGUGCGGCAACCGGCAACCGGUAGUCAACGCCGACUUGCAGCACCCGCCCCCUGACGACCAGCCUGCACCAGCGUCACUCGUCGGCCUGCAGCUGCAUGGCGCCGCCAAGCAGCAACGCUGCAUCGACGUAAACACACAUGUGAGAGCAAGAGCGCGAGGAAAAGCAGCACGACGCGGGGAGGCUUUCCGGCGAGAUGGUGCGGAUGUGAAGCUGCACGUAUCGAUCUGAGGAGCAGAGGAGAGGAUGAGGUUUGCGAAGGAAUGGAGGGCUUCCGGAUAGGAUAUGGGUGAACCAGGGCACGAGGGCACGAGGCACAGGGACACGUGGCCAACAAACGAGGCGGCUGAUGUGCGGGGUGCAAUCAGUCGGUUGAUUUAGAUAGUUUCCCAAAACAAAAGAUUGUUCUCACAGUUAUCC
RNAcentral lists this ribosomal RNA (1651 nucleotides) under Triticum aestivum (bread wheat). RNAcentral describes it as "partial small subunit ribosomal RNA". The stretch from base 53 to 249 matches the Rfam family "U2 spliceosomal RNA". The record is from RNAcentral. Lineage: Eukaryota; Viridiplantae; Streptophyta; Magnoliopsida; Poales; Poaceae.